RNAcentral lists this ribosomal RNA (251 nucleotides) under uncultured bacterium. Its description in RNAcentral is "partial 16S ribosomal RNA". It matches the Rfam family "Bacterial small subunit ribosomal RNA", at positions 28 to 274 of the family's 1533-position model. The record is from RNAcentral.
GAUGAACGCUAGCGGCAGGCCUAAUACAUGCAAGUCGAACGGUAACAUGGUCAGCAAUGACUGAUGACGAGUGGCGCACGGGUGCGUAACGCGUAUGCAAUCUACCUCUUACUGGGGAAUAGCCCGGAGAAAUCCGGAUUAACACCGCAUAAUAUAUCGAGGAGGCAUCUUUUUGUAUAUUAAAUAAUUUAUAGGUAAGAGAUGAGCAUGCGCCAAUUAAGUUAGUUGGUGAGGUAACGGCUCACCAAGAC